GAUGAACGCUGGCGGCGUGCCUAAUACAUGCAAGUCGAGCGAACAGACGAGGAGCUUGCUCCUCUGACGUUAGCGGCGGACGGGUGAGUAACACGUGGAUAACCUACCUAUAAGACUGGGAUAACUUCGGGAAACCGGAGCUAAUACCGGAUAAUAUAUUUAACCGCAUGGUUCAAUAGUGAAAGACGGUUUUGCUGUCACUUAUAGAUGGAUCCGCGCCGCAUUAGCUAGUUGGUAAGGUAACGGCUUACCAAGGCAACGAUGCGUAGCCGACCUGAGAGGGUGAUCGGCCACACUGGAACUGAGACACGGUCCAGACUCCUACGGGAGGCAGCAGUAGGGAAUCUUCCGCAAUGGGCGAAAGCCUGACGGAGCAACGCCGCGUGAGUGAUGAAGGUCUUCGGAUCGUAAAACUCUGUUAUUAGGGAAGAACCAAUGUGUAAGUAACUAUGCACGUCUUGACGGUACCUAAUCAGAAAGCCACGGCUAACUACGUG
Molecule: ribosomal RNA, 497 nt
Filed under: uncultured bacterium
Lineage: Bacteria
Description: partial 16S ribosomal RNA
Rfam family: Bacterial small subunit ribosomal RNA
Source: RNAcentral